Molecule: unclassified non-coding RNA, 288 nt
Filed under: Hevea brasiliensis (rubber tree)
Lineage: Eukaryota; Viridiplantae; Streptophyta; Magnoliopsida; Malpighiales; Euphorbiaceae
Source: RNAcentral
UCGAAAUUUUACAAUGGUAAAUCGAAGUCCUUCACGAGUCUGGCAGAGGUAUCCUCGUCCUCCUCCAUUAAAGAUAUUGCAAAACCAGAGAAUGCAUACUCAAAGAGACGCAAAAGUUUACUUGCCCUCAGUCACGUGUGGGACAAGAAUAGAUGUUUCCCUCAUCGAAGUAAUGGGGGUGGGAUAUCCAAGAGACCAAUUAGCUUAAGCCGAAGCACAUUGGCUCUAGCAGUUGCCAUGAGCAGCUCUGAGAGUAUCAGUAGCACAAGUGAGGAUUCCACUUCUAGC